CCAAUAGCGUAUAUUAAAGUUGUUGCAGUUAAAAAGCUCGUAGUUGAAUUUCGGAAUCAAUAUAUCGGUCGUGCCUUGGUACGUACUGGUAUCAUUGGUUUCUCCUUUCUGACGAACCAUGAUGUCAUUAAUUUGGUGUUAUGGGAAGUUAGGACUGUUACUUUGAAAAAAUUAGAGUGUUUAAAGCAGGCUUUAGCUUGAAUACAUUAGCAUGGAAUAAUGAAAUAGGACGUUCGAACCUAUUUUGUUGGUUUCUAGGAUCAACGUAAUGAUUAAUAGGGAUAGUUGGGGGCAUUAGUAUUCAAUUGUCAGAGGUGAAAUUCUUGGAUUUAUUGAAGACUAACUACUGCGAAAGCAUUUGCCAAGGAUGUUUUCAUUAAUCAAGAACGAAAGUUAGGGGAUCGAAGACGAUCAGAUACCGUCGUAGUCUUAACCAUAAACUAUGCCGACUAGGGAUCGGAUGAUGUUAAUUUUUUAAUGACUCAUUCGGCGCCUUACG
RNAcentral lists this unclassified non-coding RNA (499 nucleotides) under uncultured Glomus. RNAcentral describes it as "SSU rRNA". It matches the Rfam family "Eukaryotic small subunit ribosomal RNA", at positions 591 to 1092 of the family's 1831-position model. The record is from RNAcentral. Lineage: Eukaryota; Fungi; Glomeromycota; Glomeromycetes; Glomerales; Glomeraceae.